Molecule: long non-coding RNA, 402 nt
Filed under: Oncorhynchus kisutch (coho salmon)
Lineage: Eukaryota; Metazoa; Chordata; Actinopteri; Salmoniformes; Salmonidae
Description: lncRNA (ENSOKIG00005006834.1)
Source: RNAcentral
ACACACACACAAUGGUACAGUGGUAACCAGUAUUUACCUUAUUUUUCAGAGAAGGGAACAAUCAAUUGAUCAGAUGACGGUGAUCAGAAAAGAUCAUGGUAAGAUCCUAUACUAAUUCCCUCCGUUUUAAUGUACAAAGAAACACACUGGACAUACCCAAUUGUAAACUGUAACUUUUGUGUUCUUGUUCCCACUUUAGUCGGUAGGCCUUUACUAAUGCUGAAAGGCAAUGCAAGUCUAACCAACAGUGAUGGAAGCAACAACACGGAUUCAUUUGCUUAUUCACCCAGACUCACAAAGGGUAAACCAUCAACCUCCUCUCAGCCAGGACCUGACACCAGGAUCCCACCAGUAGUAACCAGGAACCAUUCUGACAUCAUCAGAGAGGCAAUCACUUUAUAA